CUUCUUGUCUAUUUUUCUAUGAUUUCCCAUCUUUUUUUUUUCUUUUGUUCUGAAUUGAUGUUAAAGCAAAUGGGUUCUGGUUAUGAAUUUAGUUAUAAAUUUGGGAACUUACUUUAUCUGCAUAAAAACCAUAAGACCCACAUAAAAGAACAAUUUUGAAGUUCUUUUUCAUCUGUAGUGUCGGCUUUACGAUAUUUUUUGACUAUUCUUGUUCUUUCCUUUUUCAAUCGAAUUUAGAUACAAUAAAAUAAAAGCAGUUCUUUGAUGCUUCAACGUCACUAAGCACAUGCUUUUAAUCAAAUAAUCAAGAGGCUUACUUUGAAGUUCUGAAGAGAGAAAGAUAGAGGAGAGUUCUUGUGACUGGUUUAAGACAGCACAAGAAGACUGAAGAUAAUAUGUAGCAAAUGAUAUCCAUUGACGAUCAUCCACCACCAGAUCCUUCAUCAUCUGACUAUCAUAAUCAUCAUUAACAAGUUUAUCAUUAUCUCAAGAUCAAUAAUGGAAUUUCAGCAAAUGAGUAUGUAGAGAAAGAAUCAAAGAGAUCAUCUAAACUUUUUCUCUAUUCUACAAGAAGGGAUGAAGUUGCAAUGGAGUUUGAUAAUGGCGGCAAUGAAGCUACUACUAGGCUUAGUUCAGAAGAAUUUCAACAAAUGGGUUGUGUUUGUGGCAAACUUUUAGUGACAUCCCAUAAUUUAGGUCAGACUGUGAAAAUUUAAUUUACAAUAAAUCUCUUUGUAAUUUGACUCAUUUAGUUUUAGUGCAUCUAAUGUAAAAUAAAUGAGUUCAUUUCAAAUAUUAUAAGAUACCAGAUGAUAUUUUACUUCAAAAUGUGUAAACUGUC
This is a non-coding RNA of Lactuca sativa (garden lettuce), 841 nucleotides long. The record is from RefSeq and is a predicted model, not a curated record. NCBI's taxonomy places the organism in Eukaryota, Viridiplantae, Streptophyta, Magnoliopsida, Asterales, Asteraceae.